GCGCAGCAGGCGAGAAUUUUUCUCAAUGGGGGAAACCCUGAAGGAGCGACGCCGCGUGGAGGAUGAAGGUCUUCGGGUUGUAAACUCCUGUCAUUUGGGAACAAGGCGUACGUAUUUACUGUACGUAUGUUGAUAGUACCAGAAGAGGAAGAGACGGCUAACUCUGUGCCAGCAGCCGCGGUAAUACAGAGGUCUCAAGCGUUGUUCGGAUUCAUUGGGCGUAAAGGGUGCGUAGGUGGCGCGGUAAGUCGGGUGUGAAAUUUCGGAGCUUAACUCCGAAACUGCAUUCGAUACUGCCGUGCUUGAGGACUGGAGAGGAGACUGGAAUUUACGGUGUAGCAGUGAAAUGCGUAGAUAUCGUAAGGAAGACCAGUGGCGAAGGCGGGUCUCUGGACAGUUCCUGACACUGAUGCACGAAGGCCAGGGGAGCAAACGGGAUUAGA
RNAcentral lists this ribosomal RNA (443 nucleotides) under uncultured organism. RNAcentral describes it as "bacterial SSU rRNA". It matches the Rfam family "Bacterial small subunit ribosomal RNA", at positions 346 to 782 of the family's 1533-position model. The record is from RNAcentral.